UUUUCACAUAAAUUCCCAAAUGCUGAUCCAUUAGCACUUCGUUUACUUGAAAGAUUGCUUGCCUUUGACCCAGUUGACCGGAUAUCUGCUGAAGAGAUAAGCUUUAGUAAAACUUUAUACCAUUUUAUUUUAUCUAUAUUUGUGUUGUAAAUCCACUUAAAAUAUUAUAUUUGGUUACUGAUAUUUUAAUUUUCUUUUUAAAAUUUGCAGGCUUUAGCAGAUCCGUAUUUUUAUGGUUUAGCUAAUUUGGAAACUGAACCAUCAAAACAACCGAUUUCAAAACUUGAGUUUGAUUUUGAAAGGAGGAGAUUAACAAAGAAUGAUGUUAGAGAGCUG
This 336-nucleotide long non-coding RNA is filed under the name Lactuca sativa (garden lettuce). RNAcentral's name for it is "long non-coding RNA (LSAT_LNC002342)". The record is from RNAcentral. Lineage: Eukaryota; Viridiplantae; Streptophyta; Magnoliopsida; Asterales; Asteraceae.